AGUUUUGCUGGUUUGCAUUCAGCUUUGUUGCUGUGCUGUGCAAAUCCAUGCAAAACUGA
RNAcentral lists this microRNA precursor (59 nucleotides) under Tetraodon nigroviridis (spotted green pufferfish). RNAcentral describes it as "Tni-Mir-19-P2a1_pre stem-loop". It matches the Rfam family "mir-19 microRNA precursor family", at positions 11 to 71 of the family's 79-position model. From Rfam's summary of the family: The hairpin precursors (represented here) are predicted based on base pairing and cross-species conservation -- their extents are not known. Lineage: Eukaryota; Metazoa; Chordata; Actinopteri; Tetraodontiformes; Tetraodontidae. The record is from RNAcentral.